GUGAAAAUUACAUUAUAGCUUUCUCGAAGCCACCUGUAGCAACUAUUGUAAACAUUUUCAUCUUUCAAAUGAAGAUAAAUGAAUUCUAUAGAAAAUUUUAGAAAAUUAAUUUGUUAUUUAUGGUUAUGUCACUUUUAAUAGACAAUAUACGUAAGAAACACCUAAAAUACCUUCAAGACAUUAAUGUCGUCUUCUCAAUUGCUUGUUUCUGUUCUAACAGAUUACCCAUUCUGUUUCCACAAGCAAUGUAAUUGGAUUUACUAAGCAUGUUUAUGUUCAGUGCCUAAACUCUACUGGUGGGCACUCUCAGUACUCCUGGUUUCGAUCUGUACAUCAUUCUGCUUUCCGAGCUAGUUUUUCAGAGAUACUAGAAGGAAAUACUGAUUUUUCAAAUUUCAAAAAUGUUCUUUCCAAGUCAUCUUUGACAUUUGUGAAGAAUUAGGAGAUUUGCCAACCACUAAUGGAAACAAGCCUCAUGAAGUUUAAUGGUAUCCCUUCUCCCUCCCUUGUCAGCCUUCCUUCCUUCUUUGAAAGGAGAAGUCAUACUUUAAGUAGAUCUACAACUCAUUUGAUAUGAAGCAUUACCAAAAUCUUAAAUUAUAGAAAUGUAUAAACACCUCAUAGUCAAAUA
This 631-nucleotide small RNA is filed under the name Pongo abelii (Sumatran orangutan). RNAcentral's name for it is "retained intron". Lineage: Eukaryota; Metazoa; Chordata; Mammalia; Primates; Hominidae. The record is from RNAcentral.